RNAcentral lists this ribosomal RNA (855 nucleotides) under uncultured marine group I thaumarchaeote. RNAcentral describes it as "SSU rRNA". It matches the Rfam family "Archaeal small subunit ribosomal RNA", at positions 46 to 906 of the family's 1478-position model. Lineage: Archaea; Thermoproteati; Nitrososphaerota. The record is from RNAcentral.
AAGCCAUGCGAGUCUUUGCAGUAAUGCAAGGCAUACGGCUCAGUAACACGUAGUCAACUUACCCUAUGGACGAGGAUAAUCUCGGGAAACUGAGCAUAAUACUCGAUAGAUCAUAAUGCCUGGAAUGGUUUAUGGUUAAAAUGAUCCGUCGCCAUAGGAUGGGACUGCGGCCUAUCAGCUUGUUGGUGAGGUAAUGGCCCACCAAGGCGAUUACAGGUACGGGCUCUGAGAGGAGAAGCCCGGAGAUGGGUACUGAGACAAGGACCCAGGCCCUAUGGGGCGCAGCAGGCGAGAAAACUUUGCAAUGUGCGAAAGCACGACAAGGUUAAUCCGAGUGAUUUCUGCUAAAGAAAUCUUUUGCAAGUCAUAAAACCACUAGUGAAUAAGGGGUGGGCAAGUUCUGGUGUCAGCCGCCGCGGUAAAACCAGCACCUCAAGUGGUCAGGAUGAUUAUUGGGCCUAAAGCAUCCGUAGCCGGCUUUGUAAGUUUUCGGUUAAAUCCAUGUGCCCAACGCAUGGGCUGCCGAAAAUACUGCAUAGCUAGGGAGUGGGAGAGGUAGACGGUACUCAGUAGGUAGGGGUAAAAUCCUUUGAUCUAUUGAUGACCACCUGUGGCGAAGGCGGUCUACCAGAACACGUUCGACGGUGAGGGAUGAAAGCUGGGGGAGCAAACCGGAUUAGAUACCCGGGUAGUCCCAGCUGUAAACGAUGCAGACUCGAUGAUGCAUUGGCAUAAUAGCCAGUGCAGUGUCGCAGGGAAGCCGUUAAGUCUGCCGCCUGGGAAGUACGUACGCAAGUAUGAAACUUAAAGGAAUUGGCGGGGGAGCACCACAAGGGGUGAAGCCUGCGGUUCAAU